AAGUCGUAACAAGGUAACCGUAGGUGAACCUGCGGUUGGAUCAUUACAAAAGGAUUCUUAUCCAACAAAUAACACCGUGUGAACUAUUUAAUGUCUUUUGGCGUGCGAGUGAGAUGGUGUAUAUCAUCCGCGCACGCCAGACUCUUUAAAGAACUCCAUUUCGAAUUUAUGUGUCUCUGAUUUAUUUGUUUCAAAUAACAAAAACAACUUUUGACAACGGAUCUCUUGGCUCUC
Molecule: unclassified non-coding RNA, 234 nt
Filed under: fungal sp.
Lineage: Eukaryota; Fungi
Description: partial internal transcribed spacer region
Rfam family: Eukaryotic small subunit ribosomal RNA (bases 1-46)
Source: RNAcentral